RNAcentral lists this ribosomal RNA (252 nucleotides) under uncultured bacterium. Its description in RNAcentral is "partial 16S ribosomal RNA". It matches the Rfam family "Bacterial small subunit ribosomal RNA", at positions 524 to 776 of the family's 1533-position model. The record is from RNAcentral.
UACGGAGGAUGCGAGCGUUAUCCGGAUUUAUUGGGUUUAAAGGGUGCGUAGGCGGACUGUCAAGUCAGCGGUAAAAUACGGGGGCUCGACCUCCGCCCGCCGUUGAAACUGACGGUCUUGAGUGGGCGAGAAGUAUGCGGAAUGCGUGGUGUAGCGGUGAAAUGCAUAGAUAUCACGCAGAACUCCGAUUGCGAAGGCAGCAUACCGGCGCCCAACUGACGCUGAAGCACGAAAGCGUGGGUAUCGAACAGG